Long non-coding RNA from Lathyrus oleraceus (garden pea), 1261 nucleotides. RefSeq lists it as uncharacterized. The transcript has 2 exons. Lineage: Eukaryota; Viridiplantae; Streptophyta; Magnoliopsida; Fabales; Fabaceae. The record is from RefSeq and is a predicted model, not a curated record.
GUGUCGUGUCCCGUGUCCGUGUCCGAUUUUUCUGAAUUUCUUUAAAACAGUUUUUAUAAAUCAAUUUUCUGAUGCAUCAUCAGUUUUUGAAUUAGUUAAAAGAAAUAAGGUGUCAUCAGUAUUACUGAUGCAUCAUCAGUUUCUUUAAUACUGAUUUCAAAUAAAAAAUUAGUUAAAAGAAAUUGAGUUUUACACAGAAAUUAAAGUAAUACUGAUGCAUCAUUGGUUUUUGAAUUGUUCGCUACAUUUCCUGUACUAAUAAGCGCUUAUAUUUGUCACACUGUUGGUAUGAUAAAUUUUCAGGUAUCGUCCAUAUUUUGUUCACUCUCAGAUAUGAAUAAUUGAUGUAUGCUGCUUAGUUUACUUAAUCAGAAGCUUCUUUGGAUUCCUUCUAUUUGGAGAAGAAACUCUUGCUGCUUAGUUUUUUAUUCUAUGCCGUACAUCUUGUGCUUAUCAUUCCAGUACUCUUCUAUGUAGUGCUGAUCAACAUUGAUGGACUCAUGUUUUCUUCUUCAUCAACUGAAUCUUUGAAUGUUGAUAACUUCAGAUUUUUCUCUAUUACUUUUUCCCUUAUUGGGAGAAAAUUUCAUACCUAGUAUUUGGGAUAUAUUCCAGUUCAUUGGAUCAACUACUGCUAUUUGUAUAGCAUUUAUAUUUCCAGUUGCAAUCACUCUCUGGGAUAAACACAACAUAGCAACUAAAACAUACAACAUUCUAUCGAUCUUUAUGAUAGUCAUUUCAGUAACGUCAAGUGCUGUGGCUAUAUACAACACAAGAAAUGAAGCUUGUAGAUAUUUUUAGACCUGCCAUUUUUAGGAAGGAACUUUACUUGAUUCCAACCUAAUGGAGAGCUGCUAGAAGGCUUGAUCGAAUUCUGGUAACUGAAGGGUGGUGGGAUGUAUGGGGCUGCGGUUCAGUGGCCUCUCUCUAGAGAAGUUUCUAAUCAUUGCUCUGUCAUUCUUAAAUAUGUUAAUCAGAUGUGGGAAGCCAAAUCUUUUCAAUUCAAUAAAUAUUUUCUCUCUUUAUGAGAUAGGUUUAACAUCAUGGAUGAAUUUGUUAUGAUUUGACAAGUUGUAACGUGGUCUAUAGGAAUAGGGUGUAAAAUAAAACUUUUUCUUAUUCUUUUUUGACGGUUUCAGAAUUCUAUCAUUUGUCUCAAUUUAAUAGUAGAUUAAGAGUGUACUUGCUUCAAAGGUUUUUUUUUAGUUUAUUAGAUUUUUGUUCUGGGCUGUUUUUCCAUUUUAGAUAGACACUUCUUGUA